CCCCCAAUGUUUUCCCUUAGGUUAUCUUUUGAAAUCUUUGAGUCUGAUUCUGUUUUGUCAGGAAGUUUUUCUGUACCAUUCUUUACUAGACUCCACAUAUUAGUGAUCUCAUAUGAUAUUUGUCUUUCUCUUACUUUGCUUAGUAUGAUAAUUUCUAGGUCCAUCCAUGUUGCUGCAAAUGGCAUUAUUUCAUUCUUUUCUAUAGCUGAGUAAUAUUCCAUUGUAUAUAUGUACCACAUCUUUAUCCAGUCCUCUAUUGAUAGGCAUUUAGGUUGCUUCCAUGUCUUGGCUAUUGUAAAUAGUGCUACAGUGAACACUGGGGUGCAUAUAUCUUUUCAAAUUAUGGUUUUCUCCAGCUAGAAGCCCAAGAAUGGGAUUGCUGGAUCAUAAGUUACUUCUAUAUUUAGUUUUUUAAGGAACCUCCAUACUAUUCUUAACAGCAGUUGUAUCAGCUUACAUUCCUACCAACAAUGUAAAAGCAUUCCCUUUUCUCCACACCCUCUUCAUCUUUUACUCUUUGUAGACUUUUUGAUGGCCAUUUUGACUGGUCUGAAGUGAGACCUCAUUGUAGUUUUGAUUUGCAUUCCUAUAAUACUUAAUGAUGUUGAGCAUCUUUUCAUGUACUUUUUCACCAUUUGUCUUCUUUGGAGAAAUAUCUGUUUAGAUCUUCAGAACACUUUUUGAUUGGGUUAUUUCUUUAAGUUGCAUGAGCUGUUUGUAUAUUUUGGAGAUUAAUCUAUUGUCAGUCACUUGUUUGCAAAGAUUUUUCUCUCAUUCUGUGAAUUGUCUUUCUUUUGUUUGUGGUUUCCUUUGCUGUUCAAAAGCUUGUAAGUUUAAUUAGGUCCCAUUUGUUUAUUUUAGUUUUUAUUUUCAAUACUCUGGGAGGUAAUGAAAAAAGAUAUUGCUGGAAGUUCCCCUAUAGUGCAGCAGGUUAAGGAUCUGGCAUAGCUGUGGCACAGGUUCAAUUCCUGGCCCAGGAACUUCCACAUGCCAGGCGUGUGGCCAAAAAGAAGAAAACAAAAAUGAAAAGAUAUUGCUGUGAUUUAUGUCAAAGAGUAUUCUGCCUAUGUUUUCCUCUAAGUUUUAUAUUAUCCAGGCCUACUAUAAAAUGGUCUUUAAUACAUUUUGAAUUAUUUUUGUGUAAGGUCUAAGAGAAUGUUCUAAUUUCAUUCUUUCAUAUGUACCUGUCCAGUUUUCUCAGCAGAAUUUAUUGAAGAGACUGUCUUUUCUACAUUGUAUAGUCUUACCUCCUUUGUCAUAUAUUAACUGACCAUAUGUGCAUGGGUUUAUCUAUGGGCUUUCUAUCCUGUUCCAUUCAUCUGUAUUUCUACUUUUGUGCCAGUGCCAUACUGUUUAUGACCAUACCUUUGCAGUAUAGUCUUAAGACAGGGACCCUGAUUCCUGCAGCUCCAUUUUUCUUUCUCAAUAUUGCUUUGGUUACUCAAGAGUCUUUUGUGUUUCCACAUAAAUUUAAAUUAUUUUUGUUCUAGUUCUGUGAAAAAUGCCAUUGAUGAUUUGAAAGGGAUUGCACUGAAUCUGUAGAUUGCCUUGGGUAGUGUAGUCACUUUGACAAUAUUGAUUCUUCCAAUCCUAGAGCAUCUCCAUCCCAUCUUUUUUCUUUUCUCAGCUUCUACCACUCCACCCCAUAUCUCUAUCAGCAAAAGUAACUCAGCAAAUCUAAAUGUAUCUUAUAGGCAUGCUUAGAGGAGGCUGAGAAUGGAAGAAAAACAGGAAUAUUGAAAAAAGUCAUACUUUAAUAUUUUGGGUCUUACCACAUGAAUGGGAGCACUUGCACAUCAGAGUUCUGGCUUUUCAUUAACUGGAAAUUAUGUAGUCUGGAAAGUAAUUUUAAAAUGGUUGAAGAUGACCCUUUUCUACCACUUUAGAUGAAGAAUAGUAUUUCAAUUUAAAAGAAAUUAAUAUUUUAAGAAUCAAAAACUAUUAUCAACUCACAAUUGGUGUAUAUGUCUUUAAAUAUCAAAGAGAUUAGAAGGAGAUGUAAUCACUUCUUUUAGUAUCAUCACCUCAACUUUUCAAAGCUCAAAUGCCAAUAAGUAGAAAAAAAAUUCAUUCACCUUCAGUCCAAAAAUAUUAUAAUGCUUUUUAUAUGAAGACUCCAAAAGGUAGAGGAGCAUAGUGGGUCAAGUUGAUGGUAUUCUUCCAUUAAAACACCAGGCACUGAAGUCAUCCAACUUUUGGUUUUUAUGAUCGUUUUCAAUAGGUUUUCAGUAUUUAUAAUGAUGUCUAAUAAAAACUGUGUAAACUUUCUUUAGUUCAAUUUUUAAAAUAUCUGUCUUCUACAUGCAUAAAAUUUUAUGACAAAGAUGAAUUUGACUGUAUUUUCGUUACCUUCACGUAACUCUUAAGCCUAAAACCUAGAUAUUAGAGUCAGUUUGCUACAUUUGCUCUGACUGCCGCGUCAUUAAGGGUUUGUUCUUUCCAUAGAACAAAACUACGUUGAAUAAAUAAAACCUUGUCAAUGUGAAUUAGAUUUGCAAACCCUAUGGAAAGAAAUAUUUUGGACCUCAAAUUUUCAUAGAACAUGCCACGUUUCCUCUGGCAGAAUGGAGCACACUUGCUGGAAUCUCUAAGACAAUCUUUCUCAUUAACAGUUGCUCCUCCUCAAGAGUCACAGAUUUAUGCUGUUCAGUGGCAAACUUUUCAGUUCAAGUGCAGACUCACUAAUUCAAAGAUGCCUCCAGUUAGAAAACAUCAGCCAUUUUUCAAACACAAUUCUAGUGUAAUAUUGUGCCCAAACCAAUUCACUGGUUUUAGUAAAAAUAUAAUAAGUAUAUACUUGCAAUAGUUGCAUAAAAUUCCUUCAAACAUGAUACAUUUAACAAAGGAAAGAAAUGAUUACUCAUGACCAGAUCCUACAUAUAACUAGAUGAAAUAAAGGAAAAGAAAAAUCUUACAUUGCAACAGAAUAAAUACUAUAUCUUUCUCCUACUGUUCCCUUAAAAAGCCAAGUAUUAGACAAGUGUUUCAAAGAUUUCUUAAGAUAAAAUGUAUUUUUCAUGUUUAAAGAGAAUGUGACAUGACACACAUAUCUCCUGGGGGAAAAGGCCAACAGAUCCAGAAAAUGGAGGUCCUAAAAAUGUAGUUUUUCUUCUAAUAAUUAGAUUCAAUUUCAAAUUAAUGAUAGAUUUAUAUAAAAUGUAUAAAAAUGGAGGUUUACAUAUCAACUGAGAGACAGGUUCUUUGCUCUUAAUUCAAGAGAUCUUUGGUUGGCUUCUUCGGGAUUUUAGAAUAGAUUUGAAAGUCCAUUUUAGUUUAUCAGUAUUGAUUCAAAAAUACUGUAUUUAAAAGUGAAACGAAAAAUUUAAACAAAACUUUUCAAUUACUAUGGGUAGCAAAACACUACUUAAAAAUAUAAACAUCUUUCAGAAAAGAAUCUGGAAAAUUCAAAGUAUUGUGUUGUGUAUCUUUUAAUGUUACCAAGUCACCUCCAUUUUAUUAUAUUUUUGCACUUUUCCAUUGAAAGCAAAGUUUCUUUCUAAACAAAACAAAGAAGGUUCUUACUUGCAUUUCCACAUUGGUUUUAGAAUACUAAAUCUUUAUGUUAUUAAGGGAAUUUCAAUUUGCUUCAUUUAAAGGAGAAAAUCUCAAAGAAGAAUUACACUACUUUUAAGACCUAAUUCAUCCUUAAGAAUAAUAAAGACAUUAAAGGAAAAUUACCUAACAGAUGAAGACGAAGGCUUUUAGAUGUAAUAUAAAGAUGUGCUUUCUACUUUCAAUUAGAAAAUAAAGUAAUUUAACAAC
RNAcentral lists this long non-coding RNA (3762 nucleotides) under Sus scrofa (pig). RNAcentral's name for it is "lncRNA (ENSSSCG00040022397.1)". The record is from RNAcentral. Lineage: Eukaryota; Metazoa; Chordata; Mammalia; Artiodactyla; Suidae.